Molecule: long non-coding RNA, 286 nt
Filed under: Setaria viridis
Lineage: Eukaryota; Viridiplantae; Streptophyta; Magnoliopsida; Poales; Poaceae
Description: long non-coding RNA (SVIR_LNC002789)
Source: RNAcentral
GAGGUGGUGCGGGUAAUUCUUGCACUACUCGGUGCAUGUCUUAGCAAUCGAUCGCCGAGUGUUUGCUGUUUGGAUGCCAUGGCAUUAUUUUUUUGAGUAACUCGGUGAAGGAGGGCCUGUCAUUGCGUUUGUGUGAUCCUUUCUUGCCUAAGUUGGACAUAGCUGCGAUAAUGUUGUCAGGUUUGCGCUUGCAGUUCUGAUUACCUAAAUAGUUGUUUCGAGUAUCAUUGUUGCGGUUUCUGUCUUGUUCAUAAUUGUUGUUAUUGUUGUCGCGACCGUGGUUGCG